Cajanus cajan (pigeon pea) is the source of this 254-nucleotide non-coding RNA. Lineage: Eukaryota; Viridiplantae; Streptophyta; Magnoliopsida; Fabales; Fabaceae. The record is from Rfam.
GAGAAGGUUAUGCCAGCUUGGCGAUGGUUGUCCAAGUGGAAGGAUGUAGUUAGGUUUAGUAGGCAAAUCCGCUAGACUAUUAAUGAGAUCUGAUAGCAAGCUGUACUUGUACAGCGAAGUGGCAAAUACCCUGCUUCCAGGAAAAGCUUCUAAGCGAUAGUCAUAAAGAAAUCGUACCCGAAACCGACACAGGUGGUCAGGUAGAGAAUACCAAGGCGCUUGAGAGAACUCUGCUGAAGGAACUAGGCAAAAUG